CUUUACUUUAUUUAAGUGAAGUCUCCUGACCUCUGACAAAGAUACUCUCUGUCUCUCAUGUUUUUCAUUCAUCACUCUACCAGAGUUUGCUGGCCUGAACCUGGCAAGUGGCGCCUGAACAGUGACAUGAAACUGCUGUGAUGGCUUUGCUGAUCUGAACCUGGCACGUGGAGCCCGAACAGUGACAUGAAACUGCUGUGAUGGGGAAUGCAAAUCAAACUAUAUUGAGAUGCCAUAUCACUCCAGUCAGAUUGGCUAUCAUCAAGAAGACAAAAAAGAACAAAUGCUGGCAAGGAUGUGAGGGAAAAUGAAGACUUCUAUACUGUUGGUGAAAAUAAAAAUGAGUACAGUCACUAAGGAAAGCAGUACAGCAUUUCUCCAAAAACUAAACAUGGAACUACCAUUUGAUCCAGCUGUACCACUCUUUAGUUAUUCCCCCCAAAAUUAAAGUAACAUACUAAAGCGACAUCUGUAUAACCAUGUUUGUUGUAGCAUAAUUCACUAUAGUUAAGCUGUGGAACCAGCCUAGGUGUUCAUCAACGAUGAAUGAAUAAAGAAAAUGUGAUAUAUAAAUGGAAUAUUACUCACCCAUUAAAAGAAUUAA
Molecule: long non-coding RNA, 604 nt
Organism: Heterocephalus glaber (naked mole-rat)
Lineage: Eukaryota; Metazoa; Chordata; Mammalia; Rodentia; Bathyergidae
Source: RefSeq, a predicted model, not a curated record